CCCAUGGAGGUGCUUUGAAGCAGUUAACUGCAAUGGAGAAGGGCACUCUUAUAAUUCACUUGGGCUGCAAACAAAAGCAACAGACACCGGGGGAACAAAUUCAGGGUUUGCAGGAGUGAGGAACAACCCCCACUCUUCUCCCAGAGCCAGGAUAAAAAUCUAGGUGAAAGGGUUCCUAACUGUUUUAGCCGUUAGCUUGUACUUUAAACUAACUUCACAGGGUUAAUUGAUUGCUUUCCACCCCACCCUUCUCUCUGACACUUUCGGUUUUUCUGAAGUUUUAAUGGAGGGUGAUUUGGAUAUUUACAUGAAAAGUUUGUUUGGACAAAGCAUGAGGGAAGUCUGCUGGAUUCCAUUGAAAUUUUUAGAGUAAAAGAUCCAGGGAUGACCAUGGAGAUAAAAGUUUGUUACUGACUUUUUUAACAGUCCCGAGACACUCUCUAGGCAAGCUGGUGCAGUGGAAGAGCAACCCAGAACACUAUGUAUCCACUGAAACCACAAAGAUUGUGUUGUAAUAUGGAUGUCAAGCUGGAAGAAUCCUGAUCUAAGCUGGCCGCAGUCUGGCGCCAGAAAUACUUCUUGACGGGCAAAUGUGUUGGAGCCACUGUGGGAGCGGGUGCAACCAGCGCUUUUCAAUGUGUCUUUCCAGUCCAUAACCUGGGGAGUACCUCCCAGAGAAUGGUGGGCGGACCGGGUACAUCCCAACUGCAGUACGUACAUAAGAGGGCUGAAGCAACAAUUUAAUUGGUGGAUGAGGGGACACAUAUGGAAUCGUCGCUGGAAAAGGGAUUUGUGGGCAGCAGAAAACACAGGGUUGGGUGUAUGAAAUCUGGGGGACCAUUGAGUAACUAAAGUAACUGAUAAGCCAGAAUAUAAAAUUGCAGAAGCAAAUCAAUAAGCUACUGGCACAGCUGUCUGCAAUUGCAACAGGGUGGAAAAGGGCAGCAGAGGUGAACCUGCAGUUAAUGCAAUGGACGGUGAACCUUGUGACGUGGGUGGGGAAUAGCUUCAGAAGGCUAACCUGAGGGGAAGUGUGCAUGGGAAUACAAAAUGCCCAACUGGGGGGCUAACACCUGUGUAAUAGUUACUGUGGUAACUUGGAAUGCGAUGGCAACUAAGGUGGUCCCCAUAAGUCCUAUAGGAAUAAUGAGACAGGGAAGGGCUUGCUGAGAAACACUGGGAACCACUGGGGGAUAGAUGGGGAAGAUGGAAUGGUGUAAAUUGGACAAUAAUUCAGUUAAGUACUUGUCCAGAGAAAAUAUUUGGAAGUGUCCCUCUCCGAUGGCCAUGGAGGAGCAGACCCAGUGGCCUGUUGCCAGGAGUGGACGAUUGAGUGUAAUGUAUUAUGUAUGGAGUGUUCUGCUGGGAGUGCACACAGUUCUGCAAUAUGACACUUGGGAGUACAAGUGCACCAGCAUCUGGCACAUUGACACGCUGCCAUUGGGACUUUGGUGCACGAAUGGAUCUGUGGAACUCAUUGCUGUGAACAAUCGAACCAGUGCAUACUACCUGAUUCCAUACCACAUGGUUGAGCUGGUUUCGACAAUACCCCAUUUCUCUGUGAACAUUCAAUGGACUCAUGAUAUAGACAAAAGCAUGCAAAACUUGAAGGAGCAGCUCAAUGCAACUGCCAACAAUUGGACACAUUUAAAAUAUAUUCUCCAGAAUGGUGUUAAAAGGAUCUUAAUCCUGUCAAGAGAAGAAGUAGUGUUUCUGGUGGUGACCCGGAUGCUGGAUUAUAUUAUGAUGGUCAGGGCUGACAAUAUUACUGUGGAUUACUGUGGCUAUUGGCCGAUUGUUAAGUAUGCUCAUUUUGCAAUGUAUACUACGGUGGUUAAGGGGGGCACAGACCCACAAGGUAUAACCACUAAUUGUCACAUAUAAGUAACGUAAUUGGCCCUCCACCACAGUGUAACAGAUAACCCAGACCCAAACUUCUUGGGCCCAUUACUAUGGGGAGUCUGACACACUCAUUGGAAUAUACGUGCAGUAUGUCCGUAUGAGGGAAGGUGCAGGGCAUCAUACUGCAUAGGGGGCAGUGGGACUGAUGGAGCAUCGACACAUUCCAUCUUGAUACCUGGCCCUUUCAGGAAAUGUGCCACCAUAUGUCCUAUGCUUUACCUGGGGAGGAAUGUCCCAGAAGAAAAUAAAAUAAAGGGGUAGAGUGUUAGUAUAUAGGUCUGUUUGUUAGCCUGGCAUAGAAUUUUGGGUUUGACUUUUUGAUACUCUUAUACUAAAAUGUGUAAACAAGGGGAAAAGACACUGUGAUGUUGCUUCUGCCUAGUCAGCUGGAUUUGUUAGUACAAUGAAAACAGUUAAAUUGUUACUCAAGAGCACACUUAGCAACCCCUAUCUCAUGGCAAAGUCAAGCAACCAGUUGGAAGGGGCAAAGGGGCUUGGGCGGGGGAGAUAUAAAACACUAAAAGACCAAGCAGGACAACCUCGCUCCUUACCACUCCCAUGGGGUACAAAAGGGGUGGGAUGAAGACCGCAGACCCAAAAUAGAACAUGACCCUAAGUUGUAAGGGGUGGGACUGUGUGCAUGCAUUGCAGGUAUAUUUAGGCCUGCUAAGAAAGAGGAGGUGGAAAUUGGAGAAUUGGGAAUGGGGAAUAGGGAAUGGGAAAUGAGAAUGAGGACACAGGCAAUGCUCUGCGGCAUCAGAGCUGGGAAGGGGGACAUGGGAUAAAGGCUCUGCGGGUGUCAGAGCUGGGAAAGGGGACCCGGGGUAAAUGCUCUGCAGUGUCCGAACUGGGAAGGGAACACUCGGGAACAAAUUCUAUCGGCCUAUAGAGAUAAGCCUGACUGGUGUGAAGGGCUUCGGAAUAUACUUGCUUGGAAACUAACCCCAAUAAACAUUGCAUUGUCUGUG
Long non-coding RNA from Chrysemys picta bellii (western painted turtle), 2870 nucleotides. RefSeq lists it as uncharacterized. Lineage: Eukaryota; Metazoa; Chordata; Testudines; Emydidae. The record is from RefSeq and is a predicted model, not a curated record.